UUUCUUAAAUAUUAUUUAAUAGACAACCCGCCUGGACGAUCUUACAAGUGUUAUGUUGAAACAAGUACAACAGAAUUUGAGGUUUAUCGAAGAAACAUUCGGUAGUUAUUUUGAAACUAUUCUUCGCUCUCAGCCCUUAACUUGGUUGGUCUCCGGCAAGGAUAGUACCUCUAACGUCACGACUUCGGAGGUAACGCAAGA
This is a long non-coding RNA of Centruroides sculpturatus (bark scorpion), 201 nucleotides long. RefSeq lists it as uncharacterized. Lineage: Eukaryota; Metazoa; Arthropoda; Arachnida; Scorpiones; Buthidae. The record is from RefSeq and is a predicted model, not a curated record. The transcript has 2 exons.